UACGGAGGGGGCUAGCGUUGUUCGGAAUCACUGGGCGUAAAGGGCGCGUAGGCGGCUUCAGAUGUCGGAUGUGAAAGCCCGGGGCUCAACCCCGGAGGUGCAUCCGAAACUCUGGGGCUGGAGGCCGGAAGAGGAGGGUGGAAUACCCAGUGUAGAGGUGAAAUUCGUAGAUAUUGGGUGGAACACCGGUGGCGAAAGCGGCUCUCUGGUCCGGUCCUGACGCUGAGGCGCGAAAGCGUGGGGAGCAAACAGG
RNAcentral lists this ribosomal RNA (253 nucleotides) under uncultured bacterium. RNAcentral describes it as "partial 16S ribosomal RNA". It matches the Rfam family "Bacterial small subunit ribosomal RNA", at positions 524 to 776 of the family's 1533-position model. The record is from RNAcentral.